RNAcentral lists this long non-coding RNA (699 nucleotides) under Homo sapiens (human). RNAcentral describes it as "HSALNT0198813". Lineage: Eukaryota; Metazoa; Chordata; Mammalia; Primates; Hominidae. The record is from RNAcentral.
UCGGAGUCUCUGCCUGUCUGCUACCUAUUUACCUGCCUGUCACUUGUCCUGUGCAAGUGGAGGCGCUGUGAUUCCCCAGGACUCAUCCAGUCCCUUUCUUUUCGCAGUUUCUGUUCUUCCGUGCCCAGCCUGGUGGGAUCUGUGUAGGGACUUCGUGGAAGGGUUAUUUCCAAGGUGUCUGAUGUGUGGCUUGGCACUCAGAGAAGUCGGGGGUCUCCAGCCCCCCACUCUCCACAACCUGCCUGACAUUCUAACUACGCAUAUUAAAGCUGCAGGUAGCCCUAGGGAACCUUAACAGCAACCUUCUCAACCCCCGCACGCACACACACACACACACACACCCCCAUCGACACACACACACACACACCUUCUUUCAUAAAACAAAACCAUCGAGAGGUAAGAUGACUUGUCCAAGGUCACUUGAUCUAUUUUUUGUUUUUUCUUAUCGCGUAAUGUUUAGACUGUGCUUGGUCUUUCUGGGCACAAUCCCAUGAAGAUAAGAAGCUAUCUUUAUUGUGCCUGAUGACAUUCUGACCUCGGAGUAAAAACGGAACAAAACAAAAAUAAAACUGUUCAGGUGAAAGUCUGACCUUGCUUUUACUGAUGCGAGCAUUACAUUUCUUUUAACCUAAAUUAACAUUAGGGACUGACAAGGAGUAGUACAGAGUUCAGCAAAAAGAAUCUGUGCUAGCAAAGACA